RNAcentral lists this transfer RNA (86 nucleotides) under Clostridia bacterium. RNAcentral describes it as "tRNA-Leu". It matches the Rfam family "tRNA". Rfam says of the family: Transfer RNA (tRNA) molecules are approximately 80 nucleotides in length. Their secondary structure includes four short double-helical elements and three loops (D, anti-codon, and T loops). Lineage: Bacteria; Bacillati; Bacillota; Clostridia. The record is from RNAcentral.
GCCGAAGUGGCGGAAUGGUAGACGCAAGGGACUUAAAAUCCCUCGGAGGCGACUCCGUGCGGGUUCGAGUCCCGCCUUCGGCACCA